CAGUGAGGGAGGUGUCCCGGUCGGAGAAGGAAGCAGGAACACAUUCCCAUCGAAAGCCAACUGCAUCCCAGCCCUAAACCCAGAUACCUGAUACACUGGGCAGAUACCCGGGUACCCGAUGCACCACACACCCAGGUGGCAAUGCCAAUCUGCGCUGCAUUUCUACAGAUGAACGGUGGAGAGCAUUUUGACUGGUUGUAUCACCGCCUGGUAUGGAGGCUCCAAAUGCGUGGGAUCGGAUUGCAAGAGGCUGCAGAGGGUUGUAGACUCGGCCAGCUCCAUCACGUUACCUACCAUCGGGGAGGAGAUACAGCUUGACCUGAUCGUUAUCUCCAACAUUUUCUGUUUUCACAACACAUCAAUCCCAUGUGGAUUUAUGUCCUGAAUCCUCAUCGCCAUUGAGUCCAGGAAUUCCAGUUCUAACAACUUUCAAGAAGCUCAAUACCAGCCAGGAUAGUACGGAUCUAAUGAAGUCCGGUAGGAAGGAAGAAAGAAAAAUCUGCAGCAGAAGACAUGCUAUUACUCACUCUUAACCUUGCAAGGGCAGUUCAGAAAUUGGCAACCCUUUGUACCGCUUGAUGCAGUGAGAACAGUGCAGACGUUGUUACUGGGCGCCGGGCCGCGCCUAGGUUGCCGCGCUUACGUCACCCGCAGAUCACCUGAUUCUUCCCUUCGAUGAAGAAGGAGGAGGACCCAGCGCCAUCUUGGGCUCAGAACAUAUUACAGCCCCACUGCCUGGAGGAACCAAAACUGAUCUAAUCGCUCCUUGCUGAAGCUACUUGCGAGAGAACGGAGUGAAUCCACAGUGGAGGUGGCUGGAACUCAAGACAUAAGGAUGAAUCAGGCAGCACGCUGCAGGAAGGGAGACAAAGGGCUGUCUGUCCCAGUGGAAGAUUGAAUGCACAAGAGAUAAUUUUGAUUUUUUUCACACACUAAUGGACCAUCUGAUAUAAUCAGAUAUUGCCAUUAUGGAAAACAGCCAACUAGAACCUCAGACAUGAGACCACACAGAUCUAACUAAUUUCCAACCUCCGUCUUGUUUUGUUUUGUGAUUCAUUCCUUCGCGUCACUUCAUUGGACCCUGAAUCAUUGGACAGGCAGAUAAGCCUUGGUUUAUAACUGAUGAACUGAAGAGUAACACCUCUGACAGUGUGGCAGAGUUUGAGUUUGAGGAGAUUCGGUAUGUCACCAAAGACUCUUAGAAAUUUCUAUAGGUGUACAGUAGAGAGCAUUCUGACUGGUUGCAUCACCGCCUGGUAUAGAAGCUCCAAUACACAGGAUCGCAAGAGGCUGUAGAGUGUUGUAGACUCAGCCAGCUCCAUCAUGGGCACAACCCUCCCCAUCAUUGAGGACAUCUUCAAGAGGCGGUGCCUCAAGAAGGCGGCAUCUGUCAUCAAGGACCCUCACCAUCCGGGACAUGCCUUCUUCUCAGUACUACCAUCGGGGAGGAGGUACAGGAGCCUGAAGAACCACACUCAACAAUUCAGGAGCAGCUUCUUCCCCUCCGCCAUCAGAUUUCUGAACGGUCCAUGAACCCAUGAACACUACUUCAUUAUUCAUUUUUUGCACUAUUUAUUUAAGAUUUAAGAGAUCUUUAUUAGUCACAUGUACAUCAAAACACACAGUGAAAUACAUCUUUUGCGUAGAGUGCUCUGGGGGCAGCCCACAAGUGUCGCCACGCUUCUGGUGCCAACAUAGCAUGCCCACAACUUCUUAACCCGUACGUCUUUGGAAUGUGGGAGGUAACCAGAGCACCCAGAGGAAACCCAUGCAGACACAGGGAGAAUGUACAAACUCCUUACAGACAGCGGCGAGAAUUGAACCCGGGUCUCUGGCACAGUAAUAGCGUUACGCUAACCACUACACUACCGUGCCUAAUUUAUAGAUUUGUAUGUCUUUGCACUGUAUUGCUGCUGCAAAACAACAAAUUUCACGUCAUCUAAGUCAGUGAUAAUAAAUCUGAUUCUGA
Pristis pectinata (smalltooth sawfish) is the source of this 1969-nucleotide long non-coding RNA. RefSeq lists it as uncharacterized. NCBI's taxonomy places the organism in Eukaryota, Metazoa, Chordata, Chondrichthyes, Rhinopristiformes, Pristidae. The transcript is spliced from 8 exons. The record is from RefSeq and is a predicted model, not a curated record.